Molecule: long non-coding RNA, 2411 nt
Filed under: Venturia canescens
Lineage: Eukaryota; Metazoa; Arthropoda; Insecta; Hymenoptera; Ichneumonidae
Description: uncharacterized LOC122409692
Source: RNAcentral
GAGAAUUCAAGGACUCCAAAAAUUAUUUUUUUUUAUUCAUAUGAUGCAUUUUUCAUUUUCACGCAAACAUAAUUUAUGAUUAGUAAUGUUUUGAAAGAGUAUUUGCAGUGCCGACUCCUUGCUUGACUUGCGAGUUUUCUACACGCGAAUCAUCAAUUUGCAUACUCUAACCACGCUUCGAAUGUUUUAUAGAUGUACCCUCGCCGUCUAAGCCAUUUCGCCAACUCCAUACAAAGCGAGCAUGACGUUAGCGCUCUUUUCACCGGAGUUUACCGUCUUCAAUGCAAAUUACAAUAUUCCCAGGCCACUUGAAUUCGAAUAUGAAGAUAUAUGCGAGUCUGAUAAAAACACGAGGUUCCCUUGUAUUCAAUCGAACGAAUAAGGAAACAUUCAUACAUAUAACUCUCGUCGAUUUUCUUUUCGUCUUAUUUCUUUCUUCAACCUCAUUCUCACUUUUGCCUACUUUCCAUAUUUCUUUUUCUCAUUCCAUCUUCGAUAACGAAAAGAAAGUAAAUUGGAUCGAACCUCUGGCGGACGAAAACGUUUCCUUAAAUCGAGCUUUCGAGGGCUGACGAGCGUUAUAAUUUCAAAAUUUUCAAUCACGAAUCGUUUAUCUCUAGAAUCGUUGUUGCGAUUAUGGGAAAGGAUAUUGAAUCGUAAAAAAGUUUCAGUUUUUAUUUGAUCAAAUUCGAUUUGAUAUUGCAAAAAGUUUCGUUAAAGGUUGUGUGUUGUCAUCGCGGGAUCGUCGAUAGUUGAAAACUCUUAUUCCCAUUUCAUCAAGAUUCGUUAAGCGUUAUACCCCGUUACUUACUCACAUUCUUUUUCUCCCUCAGCCAGUCUAGACCGAAUAUUUGGUGGAAGAAAAAAGAAGGAAAAGCGGUGUAUGCACUUGCGGUGUUGAAAAGUAAAAAACUUGGUAUCAAUUUCACGGAACAACGCGGUGUUCUAACAGCAGAAAAAGCGCAGCGUCCGGUAAUCCGGUCGACGUCGAGAUCGUCUUUUUGCCGAGAAUUCGCUCUGCCGCUUUCCGCUUAAUAUUGCGCCAUAAUCCUGCCGGCUGCAUCACAACCAGGGCCGAAAAUAAAUAUCUAUAUAUCCAUAAAACACGGUGGUAUCCAAAAGUGGAGGGUUGGUAUUCUCGAGAUUGCGAGUAUAGAUAGUCAGGAGGUGUCGAUGCGGAGCUCUCGGUCCGAGGCUGGAAAUGGGUUGGGUCGAGCAACGCGAGCGAUCAUCAUACUUAACGUUAAGUACUUAGCAAAUAAUAUAGAGACAAAAAGAAAAGGUGCUAUGCUUGGCAGAGGCUCGCGUGAAUGCAGCCGUGUUCGGGGCUUGCGGUAGGGACUAAAGAAUAAUUCAGACGACCAUAACGCGAAUUUCAAGACCUUGUUUAAAACUAGCCUCGUUGUCUAACUGUAUUGUUAUAAUAAAAAUGUGUAUAUUUAGAGAUCGCUGUUGCGAAUUCCGCUCAUUUCUCGCGACCCCUGUUCCUCUUCUGAUGCCAAGUGUUUCGUUUCGCUGAGACAAGAGAGAGAGAGAGAGAGAGUGAGAGAGAGAAAACGUGGUCUCUAGCGUGGUCAACACCAUCAUCGCCAGAGGAUCCACGGGACAAUGUUAUUUUACGGCGCUGUGCACUUGAGCCUCUUUCAUCCGGGGGAUCCGCUGCGAGAAUCGUCGCGGUUGUUGUUCGCCCGUUAACUGUUCGUCGUUCUCGGGAUCGCAAACGCCAUAGCAUCGCGAAUCGCUCGCGUCUCCGUCCGGCGGCAUUUAAUCUGAUCAGUCCUGGAUUAUAUCGGUAUAUGAUAUGAUAUUCUAUGUACGUACGACAAGCACAAACACACUUGCACACGCGCACAGGCACGAACUAUAAAUACAGAGAUAGAAUCCACGAUAUAAUGUCGUAUCCGAACGAGUUUUGUGCGCGGUAAACAACCCUUACCGUUCAAGUGCACAUCGAGAUCGUCAAGUGUGCUGAGAACGAACUUGGCAUCAUUCGAUGGGAAUCAGUUGUUUGGGAUCAGAAAACAAUGAUCGCUCGUUUCGAUCGUCUGAAUAUUCGCGAAUUAACUUCAUUUCCAAAUGAAUAUUCUCUUGGGAAAAUGGAAACAAGAUCGUUGAUGAGUAUCACUCUGGAUAAUGUGAAUGAGCGUUAGAUCGAGACGGGAUUAUGGCUUUGUAUAUGAUUUUCAGAUGAAUACGACUUCUGUCGCAGUGUAUCAAUGUAACGUAUAUGCCAGAGAAUAAAAAGACAUUGAGGGUGCGCUACGGAUAUCGUCGUCAAUGAAACAGACGAGACUAGACAGGAGCCUUGCCCUUUUUAUUGCAUCAAACGGUCUGUGACCAAGCUGCACGAUCGACUUGACUCGGUCACUCGGCCCCUGUCAUCUUGAAUCACCAUCUUUUUGCUUUUUUUU